RNAcentral lists this long non-coding RNA (395 nucleotides) under Bos indicus x Bos taurus (hybrid cattle). RNAcentral describes it as "lncRNA (ENSBIXG00005017630.1)". The record is from RNAcentral. Lineage: Eukaryota; Metazoa; Chordata; Mammalia; Artiodactyla; Bovidae.
GCUAAAUUCCACAGACAAAAGGCAGACAGAGGACAUGGUGGGGAAAGGACCGUAGGGUGCUGCUCUCUUUCACUGUUGUUCUUUUUUCUCAGGCCUCACAUCCCCUCCCCAGCAUCUCAGAGCAGCACUAAUAGGUGGGUGAUUCUGGGAAAAUGUAUCUGACUCUCAGCUGAUCUGGCAUAGUUCAAGGACAGUAAGCCCUGUUCGUUGACUGAAUGAGGAUGGGAAUCAUCACAGAAUCACAGAAAGUCAAUUGCAAAGAUAUUGACAGGUAUCAACAGAACUUUACUUCCUAUGCUUCUUAAGAUGGAUUUCCCAGUAUUCUGAAAUUGUUCUUCCCAUACUUAUGGUGUGGAAGCAUCCUUCCUUUAAUAAAUUCAUGGUGUAUUUGUUCA